RNAcentral lists this ribosomal RNA (516 nucleotides) under Neogyptis fauchaldi. RNAcentral's name for it is "partial 16S ribosomal RNA". It matches the Rfam family "Bacterial large subunit ribosomal RNA", at positions 1829 to 2602 of the family's 2925-position model. Lineage: Eukaryota; Metazoa; Annelida; Polychaeta; Phyllodocida; Hesionidae. The record is from RNAcentral.
UGCCUUUUGACUCUUAUAUAAGGUAAGUCCUGCCCGGUGAGUUACGACUUUAACGGCCGCGGUAUCCUGACCGUGCAAAGGUAGCAUAAUCACUUGCCUUUUAAUUGGAGGCUCGUAUGAAUGGAUUAAUGAGGGGCCGGUUGUCUCUUUUACUAUAAUGAAAAUUAUUAUUUAGGUGAAGAAACCUAAAUACAACUAAAAGACAAGAAGACCCUAUCGAGUUUUACUUCUCUUUAGAGGGCCUAGAAAUUUUUAAUAUUUUAGGCUAACUAUAUAUAGUUUGGUUGGGGCGACUAGGGGACACACAUAGCUCCCCAGAUUUAUAUAAGAACUUACUUCUUUGCACUGAUCCUCAAUCGAGAUCAAUAGAAACACACUACCGUAGGGAUAACAGGCUAAUCUCUCUAGAGAGUUCAAAUUGACAGGGAGGAUUGGCACCUCGAUGUUGGCUUAGGGUUACCUUUGUAUGCAGCAGUACAAAAAGGUUGGUUUGUUCAACCAUGAAAACCCUACGUG